GAGGGUAUAGCUCAGUGGUAGAGUACAUGCUUAGCAUGCAUGAGGUCCUGGGUUCAAUCCCCAGGACCUCCA
This 72-nucleotide transfer RNA is filed under the name Camelus bactrianus (Bactrian camel). It matches the Rfam family "tRNA". Rfam says of the family: Transfer RNA (tRNA) molecules are approximately 80 nucleotides in length. RNAcentral also lists the same sequence under 2 other names. The record is from Rfam by way of RNAcentral. Lineage: Eukaryota; Metazoa; Chordata; Mammalia; Artiodactyla; Camelidae.